GUUGCUUUGGCCGAGUUGUUAAGGCGUGUGCCUGCUAAGUACCUGUGGUUUCCUCGGGAGAGUUCGAAUCUCUCAAGCAACG
RNAcentral lists this transfer RNA (82 nucleotides) under Ipomoea nil (Japanese morning glory). It matches the Rfam family "tRNA". From Rfam's summary of the family: Transfer RNA (tRNA) molecules are approximately 80 nucleotides in length. The record is from Rfam by way of RNAcentral. Lineage: Eukaryota; Viridiplantae; Streptophyta; Magnoliopsida; Solanales; Convolvulaceae.